AUAAUAUUAUGUUUUCAAUUUAUUUUUGUAUCCUUAUUGUUAUUGUCCAACUAUUUCAGUAUUGAACUUAUCUUUUGCAUUGAGUGUUAUGGGCUUCCUGAUUAUGCACAUCUCAUUGGUACUAGCCAAUACAACCACCAUUGAGGCAUAUNCCAUUGAGGUGAUGCCUUCUGCCAUAUAUGGUUAGCUUUCUUUCCCUCAAAUUAGUAAAGG
RNAcentral lists this unclassified non-coding RNA (213 nucleotides) under Hevea brasiliensis (rubber tree). The record is from RNAcentral. Lineage: Eukaryota; Viridiplantae; Streptophyta; Magnoliopsida; Malpighiales; Euphorbiaceae.